RNAcentral lists this non-coding RNA (2751 nucleotides) under Streptococcus pyogenes. Lineage: Bacteria; Bacillati; Bacillota; Bacilli; Lactobacillales; Streptococcaceae. The record is from RNAcentral.
AUAAAAAAGCAAGGAUAAAACCCAUUUUCAUCCUUGCUACAAAAGAUUCAAACAAUUAUCCCCAUACUUAUCUUAUCACAUCAAUGAGAGCUGCUUGAUAGGAUAAGGUUGUUUUAGAUUUUUUCCGUCCAAGGGCUAGCGGUCUCUUCGAGUACCCUGUUUAACUCGUCAAUAUUUUGGAAGCCUUCAGUGCAUAGCCACUUUCUUGCUUCGUCCUCUCCUUUAGUAAUAUAAACUGGAACGGAUCCUGCCCACGUGGCACGCCCACACAAAACACCACUAAAUUGAGCACCUGCUGCUGCUGCAAAGUAUAAUGUCUCUUGAAAAAGUUUGGCAGAUACGCCUGCACUCAAAUAGAUAUAAGGGAGGUGGCUGGCAGCUUCUUGGUCUUGAAAAGCUUUAAUAGCCUCAGCUUGACUGUAAUGGACUUCCCCUUCAGUAAAACCUUCUACAUAAGCCAUAUUAACAGGAACCUCUACUUUUAGCACAUCAACGCCAAAACGCUUAUCCGAAAAUACUGACAUAGCACCGUUAACCUUAUGUGGCUUAAGCUUUGCGUAUGCCGCACUGUUGUUAUCUGAUAUUCUCUCAUCAUAACUCAAAAGUUCAAGAAAAAAAGGGAUGUCUUCAGCUGUACAUUCUGAACCAAUGCGUUCAAUAUAAGCUUGUUUUUGUAAAUUGAUUUGUUCAUCUCCAUCAACAUCAUAAUAGAGCAAAAAUUUAAUAGCAUCUGCACCUGCUGCUUUCAACCGUUUGACCGACCAUUCCACUAAGCAAUCGGGUAAACGGCUAGUGGUUGUAGCAUCAUAACCUGUUUUUUCGUAAGCUAACAGUAAGCCUGUCUGAUUAGCUCUUACCUUAGUAGCCAGCAACCCAUAUUCUGGAUCUAAUAAAAUAGAUGAAGCAUAAGGCGUCAAUUCCUCAGAAACGAGAACUUUCAAUGUUUCUAUCUGUGUAACUGUCGCUUCUCCUUCUUGAUGUGCUGCCAUCAUUUGCUUCAGUGCACCUCGUUGAUCAAAAGCUAAAGCUGAUAUGAUUCCUUGAUGGCUCACUUUUUCUAAGUAAUGUCUUUUAUUUGCUGUGAUUGUCAUGUGAUACCUCUCUUACUUGAAGUUGCUGAUAUAAUUGUUUAAAAGUUGCCAUAGUCAUCAAAUCUUGAUAAUAGUGAGUAGCUAGUCUCCUAGGCAGACUGCCUGAGAAGUUAAGACAUCAAACGGCUUAGCAAUAGUACUCAUGUGGCUCAAAGAGACUUCGGCUUCGUCCACAUCACUGUAGGGACCAGCUUCCAAAAUUUUUGUCUGCAUGCCUUCAUGUAAAACAGCAAUACAAUUUCUCGUUUCCCCUUUGAUUUUGAAAAAUUGGUUAGAAAUGCCCUGUUCUUGUAACUGAUGAAUGAUAAAGUCACCCAGCUUACCACCACUAAAUCCUGUUGCCAUAACUGACCAGCUUUUGCUAACAUUCUGGUCACAUUUAGCUCCUUAUCACCAGCUGUUUUUGCCGUUCUGUCAACACAAUUAACCGUGUCCAUAGCCAGACAAUCUAAAGGAUAGGAAAUAGCGACAGAAGGAUUUAAGAUAACUGUUAAACUCAUCUCUUCUUCCUAAUCGUGAUACUCACCACGAUCCCAUUUUUCCAAAAAUUCUGUAAAAAAAUCAGGAUCUUCUUGGUUGGCAUGAUGACUUUCCAAGUGGGCUAUUUUAGCAAUUAGCUUCUUAUUCUCUUCAGUUUCUUUGUAUUCUGCCUUGAUAAAAGCAUCUAUAAUAUCACACAUAAGAAGUUCACCCGUGAUUUUACCACCAAAGCCAAUCACAUUGGCAUUCAAUUCUUCCUUGGCAUAAAGCGCUGUUGUCAUAUCUCGAACAAGGGCUGAACGAAUACCUGGUACCUUGUUCACGGCAUUAUUAAUGCCAACUCCAGUUCCACAAAUACAAACACCCAAGUCUGCUUGACCAUUAACCACAGCUUCGCCGACUUUUUUUCCAAAAAUAGGGUAAUGGGUUCUUGUAUGGUCAUAAGUGCCACAGUCAAUAACGUCAUAGCCUUUAGAUUUCAAAAAAUCAGAAACAGCCAUUUUUUCGUUGGUGACAAUAUGGUCACAACCAAUCGCAAUUUUCAUCACUUUAUCCUCCUUUAGGCCAUUUUAUUGAGCAUGUCAACACGAAUUUGAUGACGACCACCAUCGUAGGGACCAGUCACAAAACCUUUGACGAUAUUCUUCGCUAAUUCUGGACCUACAAUCUCUGCCCCUAUUGUGAUCAUGCGGGCAUUGUUGUGACCGCGCGUCAUGUAAGCAGAGCGUUCAUCUGACACUUCAGCAGCAACCAUUCCUUUUAAUUUUGUGGCUACCAUAAAGGGACCUGCUCCGUAAGCAUCCACCAUAAUGCCUAAACGACCUUCUGCUUCAUUAACGGCUUUCGCCACCGCUAAUGUGUUAUCAAUAAAAUCACUGUUAAUAUCAGUCACGUCAAUAAUGUCAUAGCCUUCUUCUUGAAGAAAACUUUUGAUCAAUUCUUUUAAUGCAUUUCCGUGUGCAUCUGCACCUAAAAUAAUAGCCAUAGCUUUUCCUUUUCUAACCCAAAACGCUUGCCAAUCUAGAGAAGGGGGACAUGAUUACCUGUCCUUAGAUCAAGAUGAUUGCCAGUAGUCUUAGUGUCUUCCAUUAUUUCUUUCAAGACAAAGCACUUGUGGGUUCCCACAGAGCGCCUUGCCUUACAUGAGAAAUACUCUUUUCACGUUAGGGAGUAAGGUAGA